This 1435-nucleotide long non-coding RNA is filed under the name Taeniopygia guttata (zebra finch). Its description in RNAcentral is "lncRNA (ENSTGUG00000021242.1)". The record is from RNAcentral. Lineage: Eukaryota; Metazoa; Chordata; Aves; Passeriformes; Estrildidae.
AGCCAUGAUUCACCCAUUUAAAACCUUACAAUAGAUUUAACAUUUUCAUAUAGGUUCUUGAUUUUGUGUUACAAGUUGGAACUUGGACAAAAUUUCUUUGCACAUUUUAAUUAACCGUAUCUUUCUCUUAUUUGAAGCAUCAGAAGAUAUUCUUUCUUAUUAAUCUAAAAUGAGUAUUCUCACCUCUUCGUAUCUGCUAAUUAUAUAGAGGAAAUUACAUGCAUGACUCUCUACCUUCAUACAAAGGCAAUUAAAAAGUACAGAAUGAGAUUAGGAGACUCUUCAGAGAAGGCUAGCCAUAUGACAAAUUUUCUCUAAAGACCAUUUACAUGCCAAGGUAGACACCACAAUUCUGUAAGUUCAUGCAAAACUCUUCAACCAAAGAGCCAAAUGCCAAAUGCCAAAAUGCCAAGCCAAAAGAUCAACUAAUAUCCUACAUCUUGUUUUCAAAACAAAUGUUUCACAUCCAACUAUCAGUGAAAAUGCUGAUUUGAGCAGAAAACUUGUACCUGCCUCACUGUGAUAUAUUUUCUGAAACACUAUGUUGCCAGUACCCAGUCGUACAAUGCUUGUAUAACAAAGUUCUUCUCAGAGAACAUAUUUUGGCAAUUAAUAGUUCGACCAUGACUGAUAGACACAGGUCCAGCACAAAUCACCUGCUGCUGUAGCUGUGUAAUGGAGAGCUUGUGUCCCACAGUGACUUGAAUUUCUACAGUGGAAUCAAGGGCGUGAGGCAGGGCUUGCAGAAUUCACAACACACCAAGGAAGGCUCAAGACACCCUGUGACGAGGAAGUGGUACUGGCCAUUGUUAGGCCCAGGGCUGUUUGAAAGGUCACCCACUCACAGUUCACUGAGGCAAAGAAAUGGAAGGUUAAGUCACCCAUGUUUUAACAAAAAAAUCAGAGUUAUUGGUAUAGUUACCUCUGGAAUCACCACUCAAGAUCAGCUUUACAGAAAAUCUACAAAGUAGAAACUUCAUAAAAAGAAAUACUAUUUAUGGGGGGGGGAAGGAAGAGGGAUUUCUGUCUAUUAUUUACAUGAGGAAAUCUACCGAAUUUUUCCUGGAAGACUAAGAAUGGCUGAAGAACAUGUGGGAUUAUCACCUCAGUAGUAUAUAAGUAAAAUCAAAGUAAUAGAGAGGGGAAGUGGUUUCUUAUUUGGACUAUUUAAUGCUUUGAGUUAUUUUUAUUAACACCUACUUAGCUCAAACACUAAAAGACACCUGGAAGAAAUAUCUGAUCCAUUUGUAUUUCAGUGGAGGAUUGAGAAAGCUCAUAAAAUACUUAGGAGGCUUCCAAAGAGCCUUUUAUGGAAAUAGGAGAGAUCUGAUUUAAUAUAGCUAGCUGAUAUUUUUAAAAGGAAAAGAAUCCAUGACUACAACUACCUAGAGGCACAUAAAAGACAUCACAGCUUCUUUUCCCUUGUUUUUCAGUA